This 245-nucleotide ribosomal RNA is filed under the name uncultured Moorena sp. RNAcentral describes it as "uncultured Moorea sp. partial 16S ribosomal RNA". The record is from RNAcentral. Lineage: Bacteria; Bacillati; Cyanobacteriota; Cyanophyceae; Coleofasciculales; Coleofasciculaceae.
ACCUGAAGAAAAAGCAUCGGCUAACUCCGUGCCAGCAGCCGCGGUAAUACGGAGGAUGCAAGCGUUAUCCGGAAUUAUUGGGSGUAAAGGGUCCGUAGGUGGUACCUCAAGUCGGCUGUUAAAGACCAGGGCUUAACUUCUGGGCAGGCAGUGGAAACUGAGGAACUAGAGGGCAGUAGGGGUAGAGGGAAUUCCCGGUGUAGCGGUGAAAUGCGUAGAUUUCGGGAAGAACAUCGGUGGCGAAG